GACAGAGGUCCCGAGCGUUAGGCGGAAUCACUGGGCUUAAAGCGUGUGUAGGCGGAUGCCUAAGUACCUUGUGAAAUCCCACGGCUCACCCGUGGAACUGCUUGGUAUACUGGGUGUCUUGAGCCACUUAGGGGCUACCGGAACAAAUGGUGGAGCGGUGAAAUGCGUAGAUAUCAUGUGGAACGCCAAUGGUGAAAACAGGUAGCUGGGAGUGUGCUGACGCUGAGACACGAAAGCCAGGGGAGCAAACGGG
Molecule: ribosomal RNA, 253 nt
Filed under: uncultured bacterium
Lineage: Bacteria
Description: partial 16S ribosomal RNA
Rfam family: Bacterial small subunit ribosomal RNA
Source: RNAcentral